RNAcentral lists this long non-coding RNA (233 nucleotides) under Gossypium barbadense (sea-island cotton). RNAcentral describes it as "long non-coding RNA (GBAR_LNC022326)". Lineage: Eukaryota; Viridiplantae; Streptophyta; Magnoliopsida; Malvales; Malvaceae. The record is from RNAcentral.
UAAUAAUGGAUUCUCCCCAAGUUGGAUCUUAUGCAUCAAUAGUAAGUGGUUAUUAAAGAACGAUGGAAUGCCCUUUAACACUCUAGUCUUGUCCAUUUCAUAGAAAAAUUGGAAUAAAUACCUUUUCUCACCAAGAUCUAAAAUGAAUAUCCCUCCAAUUGGGUGCCAUAAAUCAGCCAUAAUAUUCUGUAGAUAAAGGAAAUUGACAACACUAUUAGUCAGGCAUCGUCCCA